This 119-nucleotide ribosomal RNA is filed under the name Pteropus alecto (black flying fox). Lineage: Eukaryota; Metazoa; Chordata; Mammalia; Chiroptera; Pteropodidae. The record is from RNAcentral.
GUGUAUGGCCAUGCUACCCUGAACAAGCCCGAUCCCGUCUGAUCUCAGAAGCUAAGCCGGGUCGGGCCUGGUUAGUACUUGGAUGGGAGUCCACCUAAAAAGACCAGAUGCUAUAGGUG